This 246-nucleotide ribosomal RNA is filed under the name uncultured Lactobacillus sp. RNAcentral's name for it is "partial 16S ribosomal RNA". It matches the Rfam family "Bacterial small subunit ribosomal RNA", at positions 116 to 355 of the family's 1533-position model. Lineage: Bacteria; Bacillati; Bacillota; Bacilli; Lactobacillales; Lactobacillaceae. The record is from RNAcentral.
CGUGGGUAACCUGCCCAAGAGAUCGGGAUAACACCUGGAAACAGAUGCUAAUACCGGAUAACAACAGAUGAUGCCUAUCAACUGUUUAAAAGAUGGUUCUGCUAUCACUCUUGGAUGGACCUGCGGUGCAUUAGCUAGUUGGUAGGGUAACGGCCUACCAAGGCGAUGAUGCAUAGCCGAGUUGAGANACUGAUCGGCCACAUUGGGACUGAGACACGGCCCAAACUCCUACGGGAGGCAGCAGUU